RNAcentral lists this ribosomal RNA (459 nucleotides) under Salmonella enterica. Its description in RNAcentral is "bacterial SSU rRNA". It matches the Rfam family "Bacterial small subunit ribosomal RNA", at positions 1 to 456 of the family's 1533-position model. The record is from RNAcentral. Lineage: Bacteria; Pseudomonadati; Pseudomonadota; Gammaproteobacteria; Enterobacterales; Enterobacteriaceae.
AAAUUGAAGAGUUUGAUCAUGGCUCAGAUUGAACGCUGGCGGCAGGCCUAACACAUGCAAGUCGAACGGUAACAGGAAGCAGCUUGCUGCUUCGCUAACGAGUGGCGGACGGGUGAGUAAUGUCUGGGAAACUGCCUGAUGGAGGGGGAUAACUACUGGAAACGGUGGCUAAUACCGCAUAACGUCGCAAGACCAAAGAGGGGGACCUUCGGGCCUCUUGCCAUCAGAUGUGCCCAGAUGGGAUUAGCUAGUUGGUGAGGUAACGGCUCACCAAGGCGACGAUCCCUAGCUGGUCUGAGAGGAUGACCAGCCACACUGGAACUGAGACACGGUCCAGACUCCUACGGGAGGCAGCAGUGGGGAAUAUUGCACAAUGGGCGCAAGCCUGAUGCAGCCAUGCCGCGUGUAUGAAGAAGGCCUUCGGGUUGUAAAGUACUUUCAGCGGGGAGGAAGGUGUUG